Molecule: ribosomal RNA, 465 nt
Filed under: uncultured bacterium
Lineage: Bacteria
Description: bacterial SSU rRNA
Rfam family: Bacterial small subunit ribosomal RNA
Source: RNAcentral
GGACCCGCACAAGCGGUGGAGCAUGUGGUUUAAUUCGAUGCAACGCGAAGAACCUUACCUGGCCUUGACAUCCUGUGAACCCUGAAGAGAUUCGGGGGUGCCGCAAGGAGCACAGAGACAGGUGCUGCAUGGCUGUCGUCAGCUCGUGUCGUGAGAUGUUGGGUUAAGUCCCGCAACGAGCGCAACCCUUGUCCUUAGUUGCCAGCAUUCAGUUGGGCACUCUAAGGAGACCGCCGGUGACAAACCGGAGGAAGGUGGGGAUGACGUCAAGUCAUCAUGGCCUUUAUGGCCAGGGCUACACACGUGCUACAAUGGUAAGUACAGAGGGAAGCCAACCGGCGACGGGGAGCCAAUCCCAGAAAACUUAUCGUAGUCCGGAUCGGAGUCUGCAACUCGACUCCGUGAAGUCGGAAUCGCUAGUAAUCGCAGAUCAGCAUUGCUGCGGUGAAUACGUUCCCGGGUCUU